Molecule: unclassified non-coding RNA, 378 nt
Filed under: plant metagenome
Description: partial contains 5.8S ribosomal RNA, internal transcribed spacer 2, and large subunit ribosomal RNA
Rfam family: 5.8S ribosomal RNA (bases 1-105)
Source: RNAcentral
GAAAUGCGAUAAGUAAUGUGAAUUGCAGAAUUCAGUGAAUCAUCGAAUCUUUGAACGCACCUUGCGCUCCUUGGUAUUCCUUGGAGCAUGCCUGUUUGAGUAUCAUGAAAUCUUCAAAGUAAAUCUUUUGUUAACUCUAUUGGUUUCUACUUUGGUAUUGGAGGUCUUUGCAGCUUCACACCUGCUCCUCUUUGUUCAUUAGCUGGAUCUCAGUGUUAUGCUUGGUUCCACUCGGCGUGAUAAGUUAUCUAUCGCUGAGGACACUGUAAAAGGUGGCCAAGGUAAAUGCAGAUGAACCGCUUCUAAUAGUCCAUUGACUUGGACAAUACUUUUAUGAUCUGAUCUCAAAUCAGGUAGGACUACCCGCUGAACUUAAGC